Paramisgurnus dabryanus is the source of this 321-nucleotide long non-coding RNA. RefSeq lists it as uncharacterized. Lineage: Eukaryota; Metazoa; Chordata; Actinopteri; Cypriniformes; Cobitidae. The record is from RefSeq and is a predicted model, not a curated record.
GUGGUAGCAGUCAGAUCGCGGAUUCAUAUGCAGUUAUUCAUAUGUAGCGUUCAUGUGGAAGUGAAAGUCCGUGACAAAAUACUACCUCAAGUACACCACUAUGUGAAAAUGGUCACUCUUGUGCAAUACAUGACCAAAUCUGAUGACUCCCAACUCCCCGACCAAAGUACUGCAGCAGUCAAUAACAUAUCCACAAUAGUUAAAUGGGGCACUUUCUAUAUGAGAGUUCAACCUUUCUGUCUUGAGAUAUUCACACCUUUCAGAUUCCCAACUUUAUGAUAUUGUUCAGAAUUUGGUUGGAGAAAAUUAGAAGAUUGGGGC